AACGAACGCUGGCGGCAUGCCUAACACAUGCAAGUCGAGCGAGACCUUCGGGUCUAGUGGCGCACGGGUGCGUAACGCGUGGGAACCUGCCCUUAGGUUCGGAAUAACUCCCCGAAAGGGGUGCUAAUACCGGAUAAUGUCUUCGGACCAAAGAUUUAUCGCCUUUGGAUGGGCCCGCGUUGGAUUAGCUAGUUGGUAGGGUAAAAGCCUACCACGGCGACGAUCCAUAGCUGGUCUGAGAGGAUGAUCAGCCACACUGGGACUGAGACACGGCCCAGACUCCUACGGGAGGCAGCAGUGGGGAAUAUUGGACAAUGGGCGAAAGCCUGAUCCAGCAAUGCCGCGUGAGUGAUGAAGGCCUUAGGGUUGUAAAGCUCUUUUACCCGGGAUGAUAAUGACAGUACCGGGAGAAUAAGCUCCGGCUAACUCCGUG
RNAcentral lists this ribosomal RNA (433 nucleotides) under uncultured bacterium. RNAcentral describes it as "partial 16S ribosomal RNA". It matches the Rfam family "Bacterial small subunit ribosomal RNA", at positions 29 to 507 of the family's 1533-position model. The record is from RNAcentral.